Molecule: transfer RNA, 65 nt
Filed under: Protantigius superans
Lineage: Eukaryota; Metazoa; Arthropoda; Insecta; Lepidoptera; Lycaenidae
Also listed under: 1 other name
Description: tRNA-Tyr
Rfam family: tRNA
About the family: Transfer RNA (tRNA) molecules are approximately 80 nucleotides in length. Their secondary structure includes four short double-helical elements and three loops (D, anti-codon, and T loops).
Source: RNAcentral
AAUAAAAUGGCUGAGGUAUAAGCGAUAAAUUGUAAAUUUAUUUACGGGAAAUUUCUCUUUUAUUA